RNAcentral lists this ribosomal RNA (154 nucleotides) under Maianthemum dilatatum. RNAcentral describes it as "5.8S ribosomal RNA". It matches the Rfam family "5.8S ribosomal RNA". Rfam says of the family: 5.8S ribosomal RNA (5.8S rRNA) is a component of the large subunit of the eukaryotic ribosome. It is transcribed by RNA polymerase I as part of the 45S precursor that also contains 18S and 28S rRNA. Functionally, it is thought that 5.8S rRNA may be involved in ribosome translocation. Lineage: Eukaryota; Viridiplantae; Streptophyta; Magnoliopsida; Asparagales; Asparagaceae. The record is from RNAcentral.
UUUACGACUUUCGGCAACGGAUAUCUUGGCUCUCGCAUCGAUGAAGAACGUAGCGAAAUGCGAUACUUGGUGUGAAUUGCAGAAUCCCGUGAACCAUCGAGUCUUUGAACGCAAGUUGCGCCCGAGGCUAUCCGGCCGAGGGCACGCCUGCCUG